RNAcentral lists this ribosomal RNA (497 nucleotides) under uncultured bacterium. RNAcentral describes it as "partial 16S ribosomal RNA". It matches the Rfam family "Bacterial small subunit ribosomal RNA", at positions 28 to 507 of the family's 1533-position model. The record is from RNAcentral.
GAUGAACGCUGGCGGCGUGCCUAAUACAUGCAAGUCGAGCGAACGGACGAGAAGCUUGCUUCUCUGAUGUUAGCGGCGGGCGGGUGAGUAACACGUGGAUAACCUACCUAUAAGACUGGGAUAACUUCGGGAAACCGGAGCUAAUACCGGCUAAUAUUUUGAACCGCAUGGUUCAAAAGUGAAAGACGGUCUUGCUGUCACUUAUAGAUGGAUCCGCGUUGCAUUAGCUAGUUGGUAAGGUAACGGCUUACCAAGGCAACGAUGCAUAGCCGACCUGAGAGGGUGAUCAGCCACACUGGAACUGAGACACGGUCCAGACUCCUACGGGAGGCAGCAGUAGGGAAUCUUCCGCAAUGGGCGAAAGCCUGACGGAGCAACGCCGCGUGAGUGAUGAAGGUCUUCGGAUCGUAAAACUCUGUUAUUAGGGAAGAACAGAUGUGUAAGUAACUGUGCACAUCUUGACGGUACCUAAUCAGAAAGCCACGGCUAACUACGUG